AGCAUGAGAUCAGCUUGCUGAUCUUGAUGGCGACCGGCGCACGGGUGAGUAACGCGUACUCCAACCUUCCCCCUGCUCAGGGAUAGCCCGCUGAAAGGCGGAUUAACGACCUGAUAGCUUCGACUAGAUGGCAUCUGACGGUGAAUAAAGAUGACGGCAAGGGAUGGGGAUGCGUCUGAUUAGCUUGUUGGCGGGUAACGGCCCACCAAGGCAACGAUCAGUAGGGGUUCUGAGAGGAAGGUCCCCCACAUUGGAACUGAGACACGGUCCAAACUCCUACGGGAGGCAGCAGUGAGGAAUAUUGGUCAAUGGGCGGAAGCCUGAACCAGCCAAGUAGCGUGCAAGGAUGACGGCCCUAUGGGUUGUAAACUGCUUUUGUACGGGAAUAAAGUCAUUCACGUGUGGAUGUUUGCAUGUACCGUAAGAAUAAGGACCGGCUAAUUCCGUGCCAGCAGCCGC
RNAcentral lists this ribosomal RNA (459 nucleotides) under uncultured bacterium. RNAcentral's name for it is "bacterial SSU rRNA". It matches the Rfam family "Bacterial small subunit ribosomal RNA", at positions 68 to 518 of the family's 1533-position model. The record is from RNAcentral.